This 522-nucleotide ribosomal RNA is filed under the name Triticum aestivum (bread wheat). Its description in RNAcentral is "partial small subunit ribosomal RNA". Lineage: Eukaryota; Viridiplantae; Streptophyta; Magnoliopsida; Poales; Poaceae. The record is from RNAcentral.
AUGGCGCGGCCGCGCGGCACGACGAGCACGGGGCGGCACCGCAUCGAGAUGACCCUCAGGCCGGACAAGAACAGCCGGCAGGUCACCUUCUCCAAGCGCCGCGCCGGCCUCUUCAAGAAGUGCUCCGAGCUCGCCAUCCUCUGCGGCGCCCGCGUGGCCGCCGUCGUCUUCUCCGAGGCGGGCAACGCCUUCGCCCUCGGCAGCCCCUCCAUGGAGGCCGUCCUGCGCCGCUUCGACGACGGCAACGACGCCGGCGCCCUCGUUCCUGCCGCUGAGGACGACGACCGUGAGGCGCUGGAGGAGUUGUAUCGGGCCAGGGAGGCGACCGCGGAGCAGGUGGCGUCGGAGAUCAAGUGGAUGAAUACCAUCGGGGACAAGGUGGUCAAGGCCCAGAUGGGGAGGCGGUACUGGUGGGAGGCCGACGUGGAGGCGCUCGGGGAGGCCGAGCUGCCGGAGUUCGCCCGCGCGCUCGACCGGCUCAGGGCCAACGUGCGCCGCCACGCCGACAAGCUCCGCUCCUGA